RNAcentral lists this ribosomal RNA (163 nucleotides) under uncultured bacterium. RNAcentral describes it as "partial 16S rRNA". It matches the Rfam family "Bacterial small subunit ribosomal RNA", at positions 355 to 511 of the family's 1533-position model. The record is from RNAcentral.
UGGGGAAUAUUGCACAAUGGGCGCAAGCCUGAUGCAGCCAUGCCGCGUGUAUGAAGAAGGCCUUGGGUUGUAAAGUACUUUCAGCGGGGAGGAAGGCGUUGAGGUUAAUAACCUCAGCGAUUGACGUUACCCGCAGAAGAAGCACCGGCUAACUCCGUGCCAC